This 366-nucleotide ribosomal RNA is filed under the name bacterium CPC7. Its description in RNAcentral is "bacterial SSU rRNA". It matches the Rfam family "Bacterial small subunit ribosomal RNA", at positions 82 to 443 of the family's 1533-position model. The record is from RNAcentral.
UGGAAGGAAGCGGGCGGAAAAAGAAGGGGGAGCACGUGUGCAACCGGCCUUUAUCUGGGGGAUAGAAUUUCGAAAGGAAGAUUAAUACCCCAUAAUAUACUCUAUGGCAUCGAUUCGGGAUUGAAACCUCCUGUUGAUCGAGAUGGGCACGAGCAAGAAUAGCAUAUUUGGUGAGGUAACGGCUCACCAAGCUCCCAUGAUCUUUAAGGGGCCUGACCAGGGUGAUCCCCCACACUGGUACUGAGACACGGACCAGACUCCUACGGGAGGCAGCAGUGAGGAAUAUUGGACAAUGGGUGAGAGCCUGAUCCAGCCAUCCCGCGUGAAGGACGACGGCCCUAUGGGUUGUAAACUUCUUUUGUAUAG